RNAcentral lists this ribosomal RNA (253 nucleotides) under uncultured bacterium. RNAcentral's name for it is "partial 16S ribosomal RNA". It matches the Rfam family "Bacterial small subunit ribosomal RNA", at positions 524 to 776 of the family's 1533-position model. The record is from RNAcentral.
UACGUAGGGUGCAAGCGUUAAUCGGAAUUAAUGGGCGUAAAGCGGGCGCAGGCGGCUUUGCAAGACAGAUGUGAAAUCCCCGGGCUUAACCUGGGAACUGCAUUUGUGACUGCAUGGCUAGAGUGCGGCAGAGGGGGAUGGAAUUCCGCGUGUAGCAGUGAAAUGCGUAGAUAUGCGGAGGAACACCGAUGGCGAAGGCAAUCCCCUGGGCCUGCACUGACGCUCAUGCACGAAAGCGUGGGGAGCAAACAGG